UAUUUGGUUUGAGCACAAGGAAGAACUGACUUCAUACAGAGUACCUUUAUGAAUGGAAACUCCCAGGUUAUGUAAGUGUACCUUGUUCAUGCUAAUGGAGCCUUGGAAAUACUUUUUUCCCCCUGCAUUUCAUGGGCCUGUCCUAUUUGGACUAUGACUCACCUUAAACCCAACAUAUUACAAUUUUGGGUCAGUUUUUCCUAGUCUGCCAGCACAGAACUGGGUGGGGAAGUUUCCACAGAAGGGCACUUAUUGCCACCUGAAUCUGGGCUUUCUAGAAACCCAGAGAGCGAGUUCCCCCAGGAUCCUUCAUCUUUGCCUCCCUGCCUCCCAGUGCCUGGCACUGUCAAACAUCAGAAGUGUUUCUUGAACCGAUCUGUGAGCUGCAAGAGGAACUCUUCCAGAAACUGGAGGCUACCUGCCCCCAGAACUUAGCCUCUGUCCACAGGCCCUAAGCUGACUGACAAGCACUGCAGUCUGGGCAGAUCCAAAGAAAGAUGUUCCUGAACCUCUGCCCCUGGAGGGAAGGAUAUGAGGGACUGUCCAGUGGUCUUUGACUUAAAAGAGGGUUGGACUGGCUAGAAGGCUGAAGGAGGCUAAGGCCUGAGCUCCCAGGAGGCCCUGGAAGGAUCCCACCAGGGGGCCACUCCUGCUCUUUCUUGUCCACUGGAUAGCCUGGCUUCCAGGGAGCUUCCCGCCGGGGUAUUUCGUAGAAGACUAAAGUCAUCAGCUCCCGGAGAACUAGGUAAAACCACUCAACUAAAACAUGGCUGCAGAGGAGGAGAUUCUCAGAUGCUGAACACAAAGGUGGAGGGAUUCACAGGGUGGGAAAGGAGGGGUAUCUCAUAUAAACCAGACAUAAGGAUAGGAUCCUGCAACUCCCAGAAGUUUGGAAAUCAUGGAUCUGAAGAUAUGUUGAGGUUUCAGAAGAAGUGGUCUUUAAAAACAUCUGAGUGUUUGAAAUGCUAAAUUCUAAAGGAUUGCUGUCACCAGUUCACUAAUUCUCCACAAGAGCCAAGACCUGUAGACACAGUGCCCAAGAGAUCAAGGCAAAACAGAAGCCAGUGAAGACUCAGAUAAGCAAUGAGCUAAUGCCCAGAUGAGAAGAGCCUAUUAAUACAGAAGUGAUGGAAGAGAUAAAUAAGAAGGCUGAAAUACUUUCUAUUCAUUAAGACAUGACUGAGGGGUCAAAAAUGAGGAACAUACAGGUAGCGAGAUUCUGUUCUAUCAUUUUCCAUAAAAAGGAAUGAAAAUAUCAAAAGAGAGGAAAUAGUAGACCAAGGGCUGAUUAUCGUUGCCGGGUAAACCAGGAGUGGGGUUAGUGGAAGGAAGGGAGGACGUGAAAGGAAACUUUGGGUGUUAAACAAACAAGGAGAAA
Molecule: long non-coding RNA, 1378 nt
Organism: Cervus elaphus (red deer)
Lineage: Eukaryota; Metazoa; Chordata; Mammalia; Artiodactyla; Cervidae
Exons: 3
Source: RefSeq, a predicted model, not a curated record